GCAGUCGAACGAAGCACUUAAGCCUGAUUCUUCGGAUGAAGGUUUUUGCGACUGAGUGGCGGACGGGUGAGUAACGCGUGGGUAACCUGCCUCAUACAGGGGGAUAACAGUUAGAAAUGACUGCUAAUACCGCAUAAGACCACGGAGCCGCAUGGCUCAGUGGGAAAAACUCCGGUGGUAUGAGAUGGACCCGCGUCUGAUUAGGUAGUUGGUGGGGUAACGGCCUACCAAGCCAACGAUCAGUAGCCGACCUGAGAGGGUGACCGGCCACAUUGGGACUGAGACACGGCCCAAACUCCUACGGGAGGCAGCAGUGGGGAAUAUUGCACAAUGGGGGAAACCCUGAUGCAGCGACGCCGCGUGAGCGAAGAAGUAUUUCGGUAUGUAAAGCUCUAUCAGCAGGGAAGAAAAUGACGGUACCUGACUAAGAAGCACCGGCUAAAUACGUGCCAGCAGCCGCGGUAAUACGUAUGGUGCAAGCGUUAUCCGGAUUUACUGGGUGUAAAGGGAGCGUAGACGGCUGUGUAAGUCUGAAGUGAAAGCCCGGGGCUCAACCCCGGGACUGCUUUGGAAACUAUGCAGCUAGAGUGUCGGAGAGGUAAGUGGAAUUCCCAGUGUAGCGGUGAAAUGCGUAGAUAUUGGGAGGAACACCAGUGGCGAAGGCGGCUUACUGGACGAUGACUGACGUUGAGGCUCGAAAGCGUGGGGAGCAAACAGGAUUAGAUACCCUGGUAGUCCACGCCGUAAACGAUGACUACUAGGUGUCGGGGAGCAAAGCUCUUCGGUGCCGCAGCAAACGCAAUAAGUAGUCCACCUGGGGAGUACGUUCGCAAGAAUGAAACUCAAAGGAAUUGACGGGGACCCGCACAAGCGGU
RNAcentral lists this ribosomal RNA (875 nucleotides) under uncultured bacterium. RNAcentral describes it as "bacterial SSU rRNA". It matches the Rfam family "Bacterial small subunit ribosomal RNA", at positions 57 to 933 of the family's 1533-position model. The record is from RNAcentral.